UCUCUCUCUGCUGCCCAGGCUGGAGUGCAGUGGGAUGAUCUCGGCUCAUUGAAACCUCCACCUCCAGGUUCAAGCGAUACUCCUGCCUCAGGCUCCCGAGUAGCUGGGACUACAAGUGUGCACCACGAUGCCCAGGCUGCAGGAAACUGAGUGGCCCAGUAGAAAAGAACUGAGAUUCUCCAACUUGCAGCCAGCACAACUGCCAAAUAUAUGAGUAAUUUUGGAUCUUACUGUU
This 235-nucleotide long non-coding RNA is filed under the name Homo sapiens (human). Its description in RNAcentral is "HSALNT0323723". Lineage: Eukaryota; Metazoa; Chordata; Mammalia; Primates; Hominidae. The record is from RNAcentral.